UACGGGGGGGGCAAGCGUUGUUCGGAAUUAUUGGGCGUAAAGGGCGCGUAGGCGGUGCUGUAAGUCUGGUGUGAAACCUCCAGGCUCAACUUGGAGCUGGCAUCAGAAACUGCCGUGCUAGAGUGCGGGAGAGGAGAGUGGAAUUCCUGGUGUAGCGGUGAAAUGCGUAGAUAUCAGGGGGAACACCGGUGGCGAAAGCGGCUCUCUGGACCGCAACUGACGCUGAGGCGCGAAAGCCAGGGGAGCAAAC
This 250-nucleotide ribosomal RNA is filed under the name uncultured bacterium. Its description in RNAcentral is "partial 16S ribosomal RNA". It matches the Rfam family "Bacterial small subunit ribosomal RNA", at positions 524 to 773 of the family's 1533-position model. The record is from RNAcentral.